RNAcentral lists this ribosomal RNA (445 nucleotides) under uncultured bacterium. RNAcentral describes it as "partial 16S ribosomal RNA". It matches the Rfam family "Bacterial small subunit ribosomal RNA", at positions 354 to 796 of the family's 1533-position model. The record is from RNAcentral.
GUGAGGAAUAUUGGACAAUGGGCGCAAGCCUGAUCCAGCCAUGCCGCGUGCAGGAAGACGCAUCUAUGGUGUGUAAACUGCUUUUGUACGGGAAGAAACACUCCCUCGUGAGGGAGCUUGACGGUACCGUAAGAAUAAGGAUCGGCUAACUCCGUGCCAGCAGCCGCGGUAAUACGGAGGAUCCAAGCGUUAUCCGGAAUCAUUGGGUUUAAAGGGUCCGUAGGCGGUUUAAUAAGUCAGUGGGGAAAGCCCAUCGCUCAACGAUGGAACGGCCAUUGAUACUGUUAGACUUGAAUUACAAGGAAGUAACUAGAAUAUGUAGUGUAGCGGUGAAAUGCUUAGAUAUUACAUGGAAUACCAAUUGCGAAGGCAGGUUACUACUUGUGGAUUGACGCUGAUGGACGAAAGCGUGGGGAGCGAACAGGAUUAGAAACCCCUGUAGUCC